UACGAAGGGGGCUAGCGUUGUUCGGAAUUACUGGGCGUAAAGCGUGCGCAGGCGGCUUCUCAAGUCAGGGGUGAAAGCCCAGAGCUCAACUCUGGAAUUGCCUUUGAGACUGAGUGGCUUGAGUACGGGAGAGGUGAGUGGAAUUCCCAGUGUAGAGGUGAAAUUCGUAGAUAUUGGCUGGAACACCGGUGGCGAAGGCAGAUCUCUGGGCCGUAACUGACGCUGAGGAGCGAAAGCAUGGGGAGCGAACAGGA
Molecule: ribosomal RNA, 254 nt
Filed under: uncultured bacterium
Lineage: Bacteria
Description: partial 16S ribosomal RNA
Rfam family: Bacterial small subunit ribosomal RNA
Source: RNAcentral